GACGAACGCUGGCGGCGUGCCUAAUACAUGCAAGUUGAGCGCUGAAGGUUGGUACUUGUACCAACUGGAUGAGCAGCGAACGGGUGAGUAACGCGUGGGGAAUCUGCCUUUGAGCGGGGGACAACAUUUGGAAACGAAUGCUAAUACCGCAUAAAAACUUUAAACACAAGUUUUAAGUUUGAAAGAUGCAAUUGCAUCACUCAAAGAUGAUCCCGCGUUGUAUUAGCUAGUUGGUGAGGUAAAGGCUCACCAAGGCGAUGAUACAUAGCCGACCUGAGAGGGUGCGCUGCCACAUUGGGACUGAGACACGGCCCAAACUCCUACGGGAGGCAGCAGUAGGGGAUCUUCGGCAAAGGACGAAAGUCUGAACGAGCAACGACGCGGGAGGGAAGAAGGUUUUCGGGUCGUAAAACUCUGUUGGUAGAGAAGAACGUUGGUGAGAGUGGAAAGCUCAUAAAGUGACGGUAACUACACAGAAAGGGACGGCUAACUACGUG
Molecule: ribosomal RNA, 497 nt
Filed under: uncultured bacterium
Lineage: Bacteria
Description: partial 16S ribosomal RNA
Rfam family: Bacterial small subunit ribosomal RNA
Source: RNAcentral